GAUGAACGCUGGCGGCGUGCCUAAUACAUGCAAGUCGAGCGAACGGACGAGGAGCUUGCUUCUCUGACGUUAGCGGCGGACGGGUGAGUAACACGUGGAUAACCUACCUAUAAGACUGGGAUAACUUCGGGAAACCGGAGCUAAUACCGGAUGAUAUAUUGAACCGCAUGGUUCAAUAGUGAAAGACGGUCUUGCUGUCACUUAUAGAUGGAUCCGCGCUGCAUUAGCUAGUUGGUAAGGUAACGGCUUACCAAGGCAACGAUGCAUAGCCGACCUGAGAGGGUGAUCGGCCACACUGGAACUGAGACACGGUCCAGACUCCUACGGGAGGCAGCAGUAGGGAAUCUUCCGCAAUGGGCGAAAGCCUGACGGAGCAACGCCGCGUGAGUGAUGAAGGUCUUCGGAUCGUAAAACUCUGUUAUUAGGGAAGAACAAAUGUGUAAGUAACUGUGCACAUCUUGACGGUACCUAAUCAGAAAGCCACGGCUAACUACGUG
This 497-nucleotide ribosomal RNA is filed under the name uncultured bacterium. RNAcentral describes it as "partial 16S ribosomal RNA". It matches the Rfam family "Bacterial small subunit ribosomal RNA", at positions 28 to 507 of the family's 1533-position model. The record is from RNAcentral.